CAUUAGAAAGUUAAUUAUAUCAUUGAAAUAAUCAUUUUUGAGUGCAUAAUAAUGUUAAUUUUGCAGAAAUUACAUAAAAUUAUGCCCUCAGAAACAAUUGAGAUCACUUUUAAUUAGCAAAAGAUCUCAUAAACUCAAAAGCAGAAGUAGAGAAAGUGAAGGGAGUAACACAAUGGAUAUCCAUAGGGAGAAAAAUUGCAAUUUCUAUUUAUACAAACGUUUUAAUUGCUUAUUUUUUUAUUUGUAUAGAAGAAAGUGAAGUGAAAGAAUUCUUUUCGAGCUCUUCUGCUGCUAAACACUUGGAAAAAAUUGGUGAUUCCAAGCGUGGAAUCCAAUCAACUCCUUCUCUUCUUCGGUUAACCGCAUCUAACCAACUUAUUGCUAGAUGACGGAUUUCUCUCUUAUUUUUUAUUGUAGACACGAUCAGAUAGAUAGAGAAAUCACAUGACCAGAUGUGAAGAGUCCUAGAAGAUGCUGCAGGAUGUCAUCUAUGUUAUCAGCAUCACAAGAGGAGAAAUUUCUACAAGAACUUUUAGAUUUUAAUGCUAAGAAUUGACAGAAACUCGAAUGAAGAGAAAGAGACGUAGGAAGUCGUUCAAAUAUGCAGUAGAUGCAAAGUAAUAAACGUAGGGAAUCGUUUAAGGAUAGGAAAGACUCAAGAAAUGCAUAGAAUAAAGAGCAAGAAACGCAGGGAAUGGUUUAAAGAUGCAGAGCAAGACCCAUAGGAAAGCCCUUAAAGAUAGAGAUGAAGAAAAUGCACAGAAUCAUUUAAAGAUGUAAACUGAAGGAUAAUUAUUUAAUGAGAAAAAAGAUCACUUGCGUACAAAGAAGUAGAAAAUUCUAAAAAAUUUUAACGAAAAUAUCACUAACAAGUAUAAAAAAUACACAUACAAUAUUAGAGAUGCGAAUGAUGCAAAAUAUUCCUCUUUCAUCUCCUGCAUCUUCCACAUCUCUAGCAUCUUAAAUAUAAAAUUUUAAAUGAAGAUGCGGAUAUUUUCAUAAAGAAAACGAUCGAUUAUAUAUAUAUAUAUAUAAAGUCUUUAAAUAUAAGUAGAGUGAAGAGAAAGAAAGUAAGAAAGGAAAUCUUAUUUCUACUCUUUCCAUCAUCUCCCAUCCUUCUCUCACCUCACCAGAUUUUAAAAAUUCAUGUUG
Long non-coding RNA from Centruroides sculpturatus (bark scorpion), 1152 nucleotides. RefSeq lists it as uncharacterized. Lineage: Eukaryota; Metazoa; Arthropoda; Arachnida; Scorpiones; Buthidae. The transcript has 3 exons. The record is from RefSeq and is a predicted model, not a curated record.